Long non-coding RNA from Zingiber officinale, 146 nucleotides. RefSeq lists it as uncharacterized. The record is from RefSeq and is a predicted model, not a curated record. The transcript has 3 exons. Lineage: Eukaryota; Viridiplantae; Streptophyta; Magnoliopsida; Zingiberales; Zingiberaceae.
UCCUUCUUUGUGGUGGAUCAACAAGCACAACUAUGAGUUAGCGAACGGUCUGAAGUUGCUGGAUUCCGGUCUUUCCGUUGUGAAUCGGAUCAGUUGCCAUCACAGACGACUGAAGGAGAGUUAGAGGACUUUGAUUCGAGACGAGC